GGUGUGCCGCAGCAAUGCGGUCUCAGCAAAGAGUCCCUCCCGACUGUUUACCAAAAACACAGCACUUUGCCAACUCGUAAGAGGAAGUAUAAGGUGUGACGCCUGCCCGGUGCUCGAAGGUUAAGAGGAUGCGUCAGUCGCAAGAUGAAGCGUUGAAUUGAAGCCCGAGUAAACGGCGGCCGUAACUAUAACGGUCCUAAGGUAGCGAAAUUCCUUGUCGGUUAAAUACCGACCUGCAUGAAUGGCGUAACGAGAUGGGAGCUGUCUCAACCAGAGAUUCAGUGAAAUUGUAGUGGAGGUGAAAAUUCCUCCUACCCGCGGCAAGACGGAAAGACCCCGUGGACCUUUACUACAACUUAGCACUGCUAAUGGGAAUAUCAUGCGCAGGAUAGGUGGGAGGCUUUGAAGUAAGGGCUU
Molecule: ribosomal RNA, 417 nt
Filed under: Helicobacter pylori
Lineage: Bacteria; Pseudomonadati; Campylobacterota; Epsilonproteobacteria; Campylobacterales; Helicobacteraceae
Description: bacterial LSU rRNA
Rfam family: Bacterial large subunit ribosomal RNA
Source: RNAcentral